Molecule: ribosomal RNA, 459 nt
Filed under: uncultured bacterium
Lineage: Bacteria
Description: partial 16S ribosomal RNA
Rfam family: Bacterial small subunit ribosomal RNA
Source: RNAcentral
CCUACGGGGAGCAGCAGUGAGGAAUAUUGGUCAAUGGGCGCGAGCCUGAACCAGCCAAGUCGCGUGAGGGAAGACGGCCCUACGGGUUGUAAACCUCUUUUGCCGGGGAGCAACGGGCGCCACGUGUGGCGCCACUGAGAGUACCCGGAGAAAAAGCAUCGGCUAACUCCGUGCCAGCAGCCGCGGUAAUACGAGGAUGCGGGGGUUUACCGGAUUUAUUGGGUUUAAAGGGUGCGUAGGCGGAGCGUUAAGUCCGUGGUAAAAUUGAGGGGCUCAACCCCUUCCCGCCAUUGAAACUGGCGCUCUUGAGUGGAAGAGAAGUAUGCGGAAUGCGUGGUGUAGCGGUGAAAGGCAUAGAUAUCACGCAGAACCCCGAUUGCGAAGGCAGCAUGCCGGCUUCCUACUGACGCUGAAGCACGAAAGCGUGGGGAUCGAACAGGAUUAGAUACCCGAGUAGUC